This is a long non-coding RNA of Papaver somniferum (opium poppy), 1118 nucleotides long. RefSeq lists it as uncharacterized. The transcript has 2 exons. NCBI's taxonomy places the organism in Eukaryota, Viridiplantae, Streptophyta, Magnoliopsida, Ranunculales, Papaveraceae. The record is from RefSeq and is a predicted model, not a curated record.
AAAUCUAUUUUCUUCAAUUCAUGUAUUAUAAAUAUUUUCUUUCAAUUCUCUUUGGUUGUUGCUGUUUUUUUUUUAAAUAUCCCCUGUUUAGAUCUCAAUUUUCUUAAUUUGGAUCUUGGUAAUGCCCAUGGUUGAAUAAUAUGGUAUCUACAAAAAUAUAAGUAUUGUUACUAGAGAAAAAAAUACUAAAAGAAAAAAUCAAUUUCAAUUGUUAAUAAAGUCUGUUUGUAUGAUUAUUCUCUUUGAAUCAUCAAUUACGUAAUCACUGUGAUCCAUAAUUUUCCAUGAAACAAUAAACUUUGAUUCCUUCUGAACAGAACAGGGUCGGGAUUGGUAAAGUAGGAGUCUAUUAAAACAAAGGAAAUAAAUGACUGUGUAAUUGCAGCUUCAUCAAUAUAAUGUUGUUCUGUGUUUCUUUCUUUAGAAUAUGUCUGAUCCUUUUUACAAAUUGUGUUAUUGCUUACUGUAAAUAAUUGUAUGUUAGCACAGUAACACACAGUUCACUCAUGUGACCACUGUAGUUGAUGUCUUAGCUCAAAUGGAAGAGCACAUGGUUCUUAACCAUGUAGCUGUGGGUUCGACUCCCACAGAUGGCAUUGUUAUUUGAGUAGGCUUAAACCUCACAUGCUUCCAUUGACAAUAUUAGCUCAUCGUUACAUAGUGCAACACAUGAAUUAAGAGGGGUGUAAUAUUUCAUCGUGGUACUUAGGAAGCAUCUAAAUGGAACAAUUUCUUUCAAAUUCUUUGUGACGUCUUUCAAAGCAAUGAUAUUCAUGUCUGCAGGGUAGAGAAUUACACAAGUGAAGGAUAUCCUGGGACUUGGGAGCAUAACCGGUCAAGAUUUUUUCCGUUCCUCCAUUUUUUUAUAGAGUCGAGACUUGGUUCUCUAAUUGAGCUGGAAAAGAAUCAAGCUGAGAUAAUUCACAUCAAUAGUUGAGAAGCCAGUGGCAUCAGGAAGUUCUGCUGAAGCUAUGUCGUAAUAUGGUAUUUUUUAGAAAAAUUUGCUGAACUCACAACGAAUUAAUACAUUGUACCGAGGAAACCAUCCUCAACACUCAACUACAUGAUAUCGGGUUGCAUGUAACACAAAGUUAAAUUUACAUUUGGAAUUUGGUGUA